CCCUUAGAUGUUCUGGGCCGCACGCGCGCUACACUGAUGCAUGCAACGAGUUCUAUCCUUGGCCGGAAGGCCUGGGUAAUCUGUGAACGUGCAUCGUGAUAGGGAUAGAUUAUUGCAAUUAUUAAUCUUGAACGAGGAAUUCCUAGUAAACGCAAGUCAUCAGCUUGCAUUGAUUACGUCCCUGCCCUUUGUACACACCGCCCGUCGCACCUACCGAUCGAAGGUAAUGAUGAGCCCUCAGGAUUGUGGCCUCGUCGCGUCAGCGUCUUGGCUGCGAGAAUCUGUGCAAAUCCCUACCUUUAGAGGAAGGUGAAGGCGUAACA
This 323-nucleotide ribosomal RNA is filed under the name uncultured eukaryote. RNAcentral's name for it is "partial 18S ribosomal RNA". It matches the Rfam family "Eukaryotic small subunit ribosomal RNA", at positions 1470 to 1796 of the family's 1831-position model. The record is from RNAcentral.